This 384-nucleotide ribosomal RNA is filed under the name uncultured bacterium. RNAcentral describes it as "bacterial SSU rRNA". It matches the Rfam family "Bacterial small subunit ribosomal RNA", at positions 29 to 417 of the family's 1533-position model. The record is from RNAcentral.
AGCGAACGUUUGCGGCGGGCCUAACACAUGCAAGUCGAACGCACUAGCAAUAGUGAGUGGCGCACGGGUGCGUAACACGUGGGUAAUCAACCCUUCAGCUUGGGAUAACGACUUGAAAGGGUCGCUAAUACCGGAUACGGCGCGGGAGGCUUCGGCUUCUCACGAGAAAGCCUCGCAAGGGGCACUGAAGGACGAGCCUGCGGCCCAUCAGCUAGUUGGUGAGGUAAGAGCUCACCAAGGCGAAGACGGAUAACUGGUCUGAGAGGAUGAUCAGUCACACUGGAACUGAGACACGGUCCAGACUCCUACGGGAGGCAGCAGUGGGGAAUAUUGCGCAAUGGGCGAAAGCCUGACGCAGCCACGCCGCGUGAGCGAUGAAGGCCU